Molecule: ribosomal RNA, 1235 nt
Filed under: metagenome
Description: bacterial LSU rRNA
Rfam family: Bacterial large subunit ribosomal RNA
Source: RNAcentral
UGAAUACGAGAUGCUACGGCGUCGAAGCAGUCUAUGUCAUACUUCCAAGAAAAGCUCGCACUGUCAUAAACAAAUAAUGCCUGUACCAUAACCGACACAGGUGGGUAGGUAGAGUAUACUAAGGGGCGCGAGAUAACUCUCUCUAAGGAACUCGGCAAAAUGACUCCGUAACUUCGGGAGAAGGAGUGCCUUAUUUAUAAGGUUGCAAUAACAAGAUCCAAGCAACUGUUUAUCAAAAACACAGGUCUCCGCUAAGUCGUAAGACGAUGUAUGGGGGCUGACGCCUGCCCAGUGCCAGAAGGUUAAAGAAGUUGGUUAGCAUUCGCGAAGCUGAUAACUGAAGCCCUGGUGAACGGCGGCCGUAACAAUAACGGUCCUAAGGUAGCGAAAUUCCUUGUCGGGUAAGUUCCGACCCGCACGAAAGGCGUAAUGAUUUGGAUACUGUCUCGGAGAGGGGCUCGGUGAAAUAGACUUGUCUGUGAAGAUGCGGACUACCUGCACCAGGACAGAAAGACCCUAUGAAGCUUUACUGUAACUUGAGAUUGAAAUUGGACUUUACUUGCGCAGUAUAGGUGGGAGGCGCUGAUAAUAUUCUUGCGGGAUUAUUUGAGCCAUCAGUGAGAUACCACUCUUGUAAUGUUAGAUUUCUAACUUUGUAUCAUUAUCUGGUCAAAGGACAGUUUCAGGCGGGCAGUUUGACUGGGGCGGUCGCCUCCUAAACGGUAACGGAGGCGCACAAAGGUUUCCUCUGAACGGGUAGAAAUCGUAUCUAGAGUGUAAAGGCAUAAGGAAGCUUGACUGUGAGACCUACAAGUCGAGCAGGGACGAAAGUCGGUCUUAGUGAUCUGACGGUGCUGAGUGGAAAGGCCGUCACUCAACGGAUAAAAGUUACUCUAAGGAUAACAGGCUGAUCUCCCCCAAGAGUUCACAUCGACGGGGAGGUUUGGCACCUCGAUGUCGGCUCAUCGCAUCCUGGGGCGGUAGUACGUCCCAAGGGUUGGGCUGUUCGCCCAUGAAAGCGGUACGCGAGCUGGGUUCAGAACGUCGUGAGACAGUUCGGUCCAUAUCCGGUGUAGGCGUUAGAAUAUUGAGAGGAGCCUUCUUUAGUACGAGAGGACCGAGAAGGACAUACCUCUGGUGUACCAGUUAUCGUGCCAACGGUAAACGCUGGGUAGCUAUGUAUGGAGUGGAUAACCGCUGAAAGCAUCUAAGUGGGAAGCCCACCUCAAGAUAAG